AUUGAACGCUGGCGGCAGGCUUAACACAUGCAAGUCGAGCGGGGGAAGGUAGCUUGCUACCGGACCUAGCGGCGGACGGGUGAGUAAUGCUUAGGAAUCUGCCUAUUAGUGGGGGACAACAUCUCGAAAGGGAUGCUAAUACCGCAUACGUCCUACGGGAGAAAGCAGGGGAUCUUCGGACCUUGCGCUAAUAGAUGAGCCUAAGUCGGAUCAGCUAGUUGGUGGGGUAAAGGCCUACCAAGGCGACGAUCUGUAGCGGGUCUGAGAGGAUGAUCCGCCACACUGGGACUGAGACACGGCCCAGACUCCUACGGGAGGCAGCAGUGGGGAAUAUUGGACAAUGGGGGGAACCCUGAUCCAGCCAUGCCGCGUGUGUGAAGAAGGCCUUAUGGUUGUAAAGCACUUUAAGCGAGGAGGAGGCUACUUUAGUUAAUACCUAGAGAUAGUGGACGUUACUCGCAGAAUAAGCACCGGCUAACUCUGUGCCAGCAGCCGCGGUAAUACAGAGGGUGCGAGCGUUAAUCGGAUUUACUGGGCGUAAAGCGUG
Molecule: ribosomal RNA, 547 nt
Filed under: Acinetobacter baumannii Naval-18
Lineage: Bacteria; Pseudomonadati; Pseudomonadota; Gammaproteobacteria; Moraxellales; Moraxellaceae
Description: bacterial SSU rRNA
Rfam family: Bacterial small subunit ribosomal RNA
Source: RNAcentral